CCUACGGGUGGCAGCAGUGGGGGAUAUUGCACAAUGGGGGAAACCCUGAUGCAGCGACGCCGCGUGUGGGAAGACGGUCCUAUGGAUUGUAAACCACUGUCCCCAGGGACGAAGAUGACGGUACCUGGGGAGGAAGCUCCGGCUAACUACGUGCCAGCAGCCGCGGUAAUACGUAGGGAGCAAGCGUUGUCCGGAAUUACUGGGUGUAAAGGGAGCGUAGGCGGGAUGGCAAGUUGGGUGUUAAAUCUACCGGCUCAACUGGUAGUCGCACUCAAAACUGCUAUUCUUGAGUGAAGUAGAGGCAGGCGGAAUUCCUGGUGUAGCGGUGAAAUGCAUAGAUAUUAGGAAGAACACCAGUGGCGAAGGCAGCCUGCUGGGCUUUUACUGACGCUGAGGCUCGAAAGUGUGGGGAGCGAACAGGAUUAGAUACCCUUGUAGUC
RNAcentral lists this ribosomal RNA (440 nucleotides) under uncultured bacterium. RNAcentral describes it as "partial 16S ribosomal RNA". It matches the Rfam family "Bacterial small subunit ribosomal RNA", at positions 338 to 795 of the family's 1533-position model. The record is from RNAcentral.